This 345-nucleotide unclassified non-coding RNA is filed under the name soil metagenome. RNAcentral describes it as "partial contains 5.8S ribosomal RNA, internal transcribed spacer 2, and large subunit ribosomal RNA". The stretch from base 1 to 119 matches the Rfam family "5.8S ribosomal RNA", at positions 35 to 154 of the family's 154-position model. The record is from RNAcentral.
GAUGAAGAACGCAGCGAAAUACGAUACGUAAUGUGAAUUGCAAAUUCAGUGAAUCAUCGAGUCUUUGAACGCACAUUGCGCCCCCUGGUAUUCCGGGGGGCAUGCCUGUCCGAGCGUCAUUGCUGCCCUCAAGCACGGCUUGUGUGUUGGGCCCCGUCCUCCGAUCCCGGGGGACGGGCCCGAAAGGCAGCGGCGGCACCGCGUCCGGUCCUCGAGCGUAUGGGGCUUUGUCACCCGCUCUGUAGGCCCGGCCGGCGCUUGCCGAUCAACCCAAAUUUUUAUCCAGGUUGACCUCGGAUCAGGUAGGGAUACCCGCUGAACUUAAGCAUAUCAAUAAGCGGAGGA